This 21-nucleotide non-coding RNA is filed under the name Caenorhabditis elegans. Lineage: Eukaryota; Metazoa; Nematoda; Chromadorea; Rhabditida; Rhabditidae. The record is from RNAcentral.
UGCCCUUUUAUUUUCCGCAAA